Molecule: long non-coding RNA, 399 nt
Filed under: Helianthus annuus (common sunflower)
Lineage: Eukaryota; Viridiplantae; Streptophyta; Magnoliopsida; Asterales; Asteraceae
Description: hypothetical non coding rna
Source: RNAcentral
GUGUUCAUCCCCGUCAUAAUGUAUAGUGUCUGCCGCAUAUUUCCGAAGAACAUCACCUCCAGCCGCUUUCUCCUUUUACUUAUUUAUCAUACUAUCCAUGGUCUUUACUAAAUUAAGUGUUUUGACAGAUAAUCUGUCCCCCGAAUGAUACCAAGCCCAAUCAUCCAGCACUGAGAAUAUUUUGCGAGCCGCAGAGUAACGCACCAUACAUUGUAAAAGUGGGUAGAAAUCCCAAGCUACACCUUCCUGUUGUUUAGGGCAACUCUUUCGAAGAUACUUACCCACGUUCUUAAGACAACACUCAUAAAGCCCUUUUUCGACAUUAAGGGCACAAAAGAAGCUGACGCUAACUUGCUCUUCAGGUUUGCUGCCCGCUUGGGUAUGAUGAUUGAGCUAUGA